RNAcentral lists this transfer RNA (80 nucleotides) under Spirosoma utsteinense. Its description in RNAcentral is "tRNA-Tyr". It matches the Rfam family "tRNA". From Rfam's summary of the family: Transfer RNA (tRNA) molecules are approximately 80 nucleotides in length. Their secondary structure includes four short double-helical elements and three loops (D, anti-codon, and T loops). The record is from RNAcentral. Lineage: Bacteria; Pseudomonadati; Bacteroidota; Cytophagia; Cytophagales; Cytophagaceae.
AGGAACAUCGUAUAGCGGCAAUUACGACUGACUGUAAAUCAGUUGCUUAGGCUUCACAGGUUCGAGUCCUGUUGUUCCUA